GAUGAACGCUGGCGGCGUGCCUAACACAUGCAAGUCGAGCGGAAAGACGAUGAGCUUGUGCUCUUACCGUUAGCGGGGGGCGGGCGAGUAACGCGUGGAUCACCAACUUCUAUUUCGGGGAAAAUAACGUAAAUAGGGUUAAAAUAAGAGAUCAUAUCUCGUACCGUAGGGAGCAUUGGAGAUUCACGGCUUUCGCGUAUGUAUUAGCCGAUGUCGGAUUAGAUAGUUGGGGUGGUAAGGGCCUAGCAAGGCGACGAUCCGUAGCUUGUCUGAGAGGAUGAUCGGCCACACUGGAACUGAGACACGGUCCAGACUCCUACGGGAGGCAGCAGUGUGGAAUAUUGGGCAAUGGGCGAAAGCCUGACCCAGCCAUACCGCGUGGGUGAAGAAGGCCUUCGGUUCGUAAAGCCCUGUUAUUGGGAAAGAACAGCAGUAGGUUUAAACCUCGCCGUCUUGACGGUACCGAAUGAAGAAGCAACGGCUAACUACGUG
RNAcentral lists this ribosomal RNA (492 nucleotides) under uncultured bacterium. RNAcentral's name for it is "partial 16S ribosomal RNA". It matches the Rfam family "Bacterial small subunit ribosomal RNA", at positions 28 to 507 of the family's 1533-position model. The record is from RNAcentral.